AUGAGCGCACGCAACCGUGAAGUCAGAUUCCUCCGCCGACCGCGGCCCUCUCUCCUCGGGCUUUGCCUUCGCUCUCCAGCUUUUCUUCUUUCACUCCCGCUCGCCGACUCCAGCCCGCUGGGCUCACGCUCUGCCGGACACCAAUCCCGGCUGCCCUGCCCGACGGAGCUCAAGGCUAGGCCUGGCCUUGUCCGCGGAGUCCGCCCCUCGCCGCCACCGGGAUCCGCCCCCGCGCCGACACGCACUUCCGGCAGCGCCGCGGCCGGGAGGGACCGAGCGGGGAGCGAGGCCUGCGGUGAGGCGCAGGAUGGACGCGUUGGCUGUCAUGAUGUAGGACCUCCUGACCUAGAACCAUGCCCGGCGCAGGGAGAACAACGAGCUUAUGGACCGGGUGCGGGGGCUGCUGUGCGAGAAAGCCUACCUGCUGGCCCGGGAGCGUUCGCUGGCCCACCUGGUGGCUUUCCCUAGACGUUUAACGGCGACUCCGCCCGGCCUCCCGACUUUUUGAUGCAGGCGUUCUCUUACAUGACUUUCUUCGAGGCUAGAUUCUCGAAAGACAUCCUGAAGGUGGCUUUCUUAAUUAGCUGCCUCACCGAGUGGCGGAGCAGUUCGUAGUCCCCUACAUCGAGAGGGAGAGCCCCGUCCUGGCUCAGUACUAGGGCUUCGUGGACGCGCUGUAGCGGGCCUUGGCCGUUGUGGGUAGGAAACAGUCGGGCCGGAUCCCCGGUGUCUGGGGAGCGGCUGCGGCCCGGGCCCGCGCGAGCCACUUCGCUCCUACAAGCCCGGCUCACUAGUUCCAAGCUGCUGGACUUUGACCCUCGCUGGGAAGCUUGAUCGCCGCCUGUUCUCGCCAAUCUCUGCCUUUGCACUGCCCAGCAACCCGGUCACUGCCCAGGACCUGUUAAAAGUGGAAUGGACCUCCCAGAAUCACGCCGCUGCCACCGCCGUUUCUAGAGACGGCUUUUGGCCACCUUUGAGAAUCAGGGUCAAACUUGGAAGGGCCUGCAUUUGUCACACCUCCUCGGACACUAAUUUGGAUAGUUCAGGCCCAGAGACAGCUUCCCGGGUUAGUGUGCCUGACAACACUGAAGAAAAAUUGUGACAUUUUCCUUCCCCAAAAUUACUUCGUUUUAUACAUUUCACUUCUCUUCUGAAAUUACAGCAAUGUCAGUUUGCGCCUUUUGGUCUGAGGAACGCAGGCCCUGGCCACUACCAGGAAAAAGUAUUUACUUUUAAAACUUGAAUGUAUAUCUUUACCGUAUGCCUAGUACAGUAGUGCUUGGAAGAAACAGAUUAGUAAGACAAAAUGUAUGUCUUCAAGAACACUUAUGUUCUGAGAAAGAAUUCUGAAUGCAGAUUCUAAUGUCUGGUAAAAUGCUUUACAGUGUAAAGAAUGCAUAUAUGAUUCUUAUUUUAUGGCAUUUUAAACUUUCCACCCCAUGGUUUUAAAGUGUUAAUAUAUGUUAAAAAUAUAUGCAAUUUAUAAAGGAGAGGGAAAGCCCAGCUUGAUUUUUGCUGCCAAAGAUGGUGUAUUUAAAAUUAAACGUAACUAAUGGCAAAAAAAUAAUGGGAAUGGUGCAGUCUUUGAGCUGUAUCCAGUUGGCAUUAUUCUCUCGGACUAAAAGGAAUGGUAUUAACUUCCUCACUUUGGGUAAGCCACUUUAGAUUUUUGGGCUGCAGUUUUCUCAGGUAAUUAGAGACUUUAUAUUAUUAAAGUUUGGUUCACAAUUCUUUGAGUCUCUUUUGGGAACAAAGAAGGUAAGAGGAGGAUAUGUGCCCUCCUCUCAAUCAAAGGGUUUCUUGAAACCCUCUAAGGAGAAAAAUCUGAAACUGCCUUUCCUAAAACGUUCUGGGUUUGUCAUUCUGAUGAUCAAUAUCGUCCCACUGAAGUAUCUUUUUGAAUUCCUAGUUAGGAAUCUUUAUGUAAAGAUAAACUGAUCACUCUCUCCUUCGUGGACAGUUUAUCUACCUAAAGAUGAUAGGGGGAAACACUGUUUUUGAAAGACGAAAUAAAGACAUGUUGUAGCAGUUA
RNAcentral lists this long non-coding RNA (2032 nucleotides) under Pan troglodytes (chimpanzee). RNAcentral describes it as "lincRNA". Lineage: Eukaryota; Metazoa; Chordata; Mammalia; Primates; Hominidae. The record is from RNAcentral.